UGCUCCAAACUUUCUGAGCAGGACCAUGCGAAGCGUAGUCGUCUUCGUCAAACACAGUCGACUCGGAAGCUUAAGAACAAGAACUUGAAUUUGGCUCCUUGUACUCUGCUUGUUGAAUUUAUCAGUUGAAGCUUGUAGGAGAAACAUCAAGUUCAAUGGUUCAGUUGCAUGUUCAAAGGUGGAAUCACAUCUUGUUGAUGCUCGUGUGCCUCACCAACCAAAAAGAGUGUGAUGUGUGUAAUGGUUCAGGGAAGGGCACAUAAGGAGCAAUCUGGGUUUGAUUGUCAGGAUGCACUUAGAUUCCAGUAAGGUUUUGUUGAUAUUUGGCACUCCAACCAGAUCUUUGCCAAUGAGUCACUUGAAUAUCACAAAACCUGUGCAGGCGUGUUGUGAAGGUACGUACUGGACAUGAAGUUUAAUCUUCCAUUUUGAAGAGCCUUGUGAAUAAUGUGAAGAUGUGUGAGGCUCAUCCCGUUAAGCUUUUUUGAAUAAAAGCCAAAACUGCUAGUAUGUACUUUUGCCUUUGAAAUAUAGGU
Long non-coding RNA from Rosa chinensis, 536 nucleotides. RefSeq lists it as uncharacterized. The transcript is spliced from 5 exons. The record is from RefSeq and is a predicted model, not a curated record. Lineage: Eukaryota; Viridiplantae; Streptophyta; Magnoliopsida; Rosales; Rosaceae.